UACGUAGGGUGCAAGCGUUAAUCGGAAUUACUGGGCGUAAAGCGCGCGUAGGCGGCUUUGUAAGUUAGAGGUGAAAGCCCGGGGCUCAACCCCGGAAUUGCCUUUAAGACUGCAUCGCUUGAAUCCGGGAGAGGUGAGUGGAAUUCCGAGUGUAGAGGUGAAAUUCGUAGAUAUUCGGAAGAACACCAGUGGCGAAGGCGGCUCACUGGACCGGCAUUGACGCUGAGGUGCGAAAGCGUGGGGAGCAAACAGG
Molecule: ribosomal RNA, 253 nt
Filed under: uncultured bacterium
Lineage: Bacteria
Description: partial 16S ribosomal RNA
Rfam family: Bacterial small subunit ribosomal RNA
Source: RNAcentral